RNAcentral lists this ribosomal RNA (460 nucleotides) under uncultured bacterium. Its description in RNAcentral is "partial 16S ribosomal RNA". It matches the Rfam family "Bacterial small subunit ribosomal RNA", at positions 338 to 795 of the family's 1533-position model. The record is from RNAcentral.
CCUACGGGAGGCAGCAGUGAGGAAUAUUGGUCAAUGGGCGAGAGCCUGAACCAGCCAAGUCGCGUGAAGGAUGAAGGAUCUAUGGUUUGUAAACUUCUUUUAUAGGGGAAUAAAGUGAGGAACGUGUCCCUUUUUGUAUGUACCAUAUGAAUAAGGAUCGGCUAACUCCGUGCCAGCAGCCGCGGUAAUACGGAGGAUCCGAGCGUUAUCCGGAUUUAUUGGGUUUAAAGGGUGCGUAGGUGGUUAGUUAAGUCAGAGGUGAAAGUUUGCGGCUCAACCGUAAAAUUGCAAUUGAAACUGGCAGCCUUGAGUACAGGUGAGGUAGGCGGAAUGCGUGGUGUAGCGGUGAAAUGCAUAGAUAUCACGAAGAACUCCGAUUGCGAAGGCAGCUUACUAAACUGUAACUGACACUGAUGCUCGAAAGUGUGGGGAUCAAACAGGAUUAGAUACCCGGGUAGUC